RNAcentral lists this transfer RNA (74 nucleotides) under Eurypyga helias (sunbittern). It matches the Rfam family "tRNA". From Rfam's summary of the family: Transfer RNA (tRNA) molecules are approximately 80 nucleotides in length. Their secondary structure includes four short double-helical elements and three loops (D, anti-codon, and T loops). Lineage: Eukaryota; Metazoa; Chordata; Aves; Eurypygiformes; Eurypygidae. The record is from Rfam by way of RNAcentral.
GUCUCUGUGGUGGAAUCAGUUAGCGCGCUCAGCUGUUAAGUGAAAGGUUGGUGGUUAGAGCCCACUCGGGGAUG